UGCUGAGACAGAAACUUAAAAUGGAUAAUAAGAGUAAAAAACGCCCGGGUGGCGCUGAGAAGCAUCGGAAAAAAAAGCUGAAGUCUCUGGAGGUGGAGGCUGCUACAUGUGCCAAACUGACGGACCUGUUUGGUGCCGGGUUCACCAGCCCAGCAGCAGCAGGUGCGCCGGGAGACGAGCGAGGAGGACUCGACCAUGAUGAGCGAGUGGAGGCAGACAUGGUUGAUGUGAUAUAUUUGAGGAGUCGUUCUCCCUCUGUUUUAUAUGUGGACAUUUGGGACCACUGUUAGAAUUUGGUUGACCACUUGACAUGUGAGAGCCUGAGGAGUUGUUCCCCCUCUGUCCAUGUUCGAGGACUUGCUCUCUGUCUGCCUCCACUCUCUGCCUUCACUGUACCAAAGUUUGUCUGUUGAGUCUCCUCUAGUCUGGUUGACCACUUGACAUGUGAGAGCCUGAGGAGUUGUUCACCCUCUGUCCAUGUUCGAGGACUUGCUCUCUGUCUGCCUCCACUCUCUGCCUUCACUGUACCAUGUCUGUUGAGUCUCCUCUAGUCUGGUUGACCACUUGACAUGUGAGAGCCUGAGGAGUUGUUUUCCAGACACAGGUAGAGCUGGCAGGGGCGUCACCCUGGGCCUGCCCUUUUGGGCUGGGCUUCAGCUGCAGAUCUAAAGGCUGCUUCCAGGGGCAUGGGGCCCUCAGCCUUUGUUUUUCUUUGCUUCUGUACCUUACAACAUACAUCACACCUUAUUUUCACACAUCCAAACACCG
Molecule: long non-coding RNA, 768 nt
Organism: Pleuronectes platessa (European plaice)
Lineage: Eukaryota; Metazoa; Chordata; Actinopteri; Pleuronectiformes; Pleuronectidae
Exons: 5
Source: RefSeq, a predicted model, not a curated record